This is a non-coding RNA of Heterocephalus glaber (naked mole-rat), 4698 nucleotides long. The record is from RefSeq and is a predicted model, not a curated record. NCBI's taxonomy places the organism in Eukaryota, Metazoa, Chordata, Mammalia, Rodentia, Bathyergidae.
GACAGAGGGAGAGACGUGUUCAGGGCAUGCACCAGCUCCUCAUGACGAAUGUAACCAUUAAGUACUGCCAACAUGGAGUCAUAAAGUAAAAAUAAAGCAGUAGUUUUGAGCCCGGUAGUUUUGCAUUGUUAAAAAAAAGAAAAGAAAAAAUUUCCAGUUACAUUAGACUGGAAUUUAGUGUUUUCCAUUCACUGACAUCAAAUAUAGGGACUAAAUAGGGAAAAGAUAGGAUUAAAAUCCUAAGCAUAAGAAUUAUAAUGUAAAAAUUCUUUUUUUGGGGGGGGUACUGGGGAUCAAACUUGGGUCCUUGUACUUGCAAGGCAGGCAGCAGAACCACUGAGCUAAAUCCGGCCCCAAUGUAAAAAUCCUUAAUUGUAGCUCAUGUUAGAUUUAAAAGUUAACUCUAAAAAGUGGUACUUUCAUUGAUGAUUCGUCAGCUGUUUUAAUUAUGCAUCUAUUUUCACACUAAUGGUACAGGAGUAAUUCCUUUUUAUAGAAGGAAUCAUUGAUCUGUUGGGGGUGCAGCCCAGGAGCAGAGCUCCUGCCUUGAUGUGUGGGCUCCUUCCCUGCGGAGCGGGAGGAGAAAGGAAGGCCAGGGGGUAAAGAGGGAAGAAAUGAUCGUCCCAGGGAUUAAGAAAAGCCAGCUCUUGAAUCUGAGGUAAAAUAUAUUGUUAUUUCAUGGCACUCUACAUAAAUUCCAUGGGCAAGCCUUUCAAAGGACCUGCAAAAUUAAAACAAUGAAACAAUAACUGUGCCGGUCAUAGUUGCAUAAUUUCUGGGCUGUGCCAGCAAGGAGAGGACUUACAGGGAACUGCAGUCUCCUGCCAGUAGGUCACCCUCUCCCCGCCCCAAUCCCUCGGCACAGCUCAUGGUCAUGGUCACGGCCUUGUUACCGAGUUCUCUACCAGCUGCAGCCCUCACCUGUAGCAUCCCUGUGUCCGUCUGUCCCUCCCUCAGCCCUGCACCUCCCCGCAGACACCUGUGUCUUGCUCGGUGCCAGGGGAAAGCACUGGUACCUGCAGCACCCACAGGGAGCGGCACGUUCUGAGGGUGACACUCUAACCGAGUAUUCUGACAGUGCUGAGCGUGUGAGUUCACAGUGCCGUGCUUUCCUCAGACAUCUGCUUCCUCCUGCAGUAUGGAAAGCUGCUCUAGGGUCUGAGCGAACAUGGACUCGCAACUCAGUUGGAAAACUGCCUUGGAAAACUUUUUAAACCUGGGGCGAAGCAGACAGCCAUCAAGCCCAGGCUGGCCUUGAACUCACUGUGAUCCUGCCGCCCCAGCCUCCUGAGUGCUGGGCUCACAGGUGUGACCGCCACACCCGGCUCCCUGCCAACGUCCAGCUUGCUGUGCGUCUAGUCUUCUUGCCUUCCGUGAGGUUAGGGACGUCGUCUUCAGCUGGGAAGAGGACUGUGGUGAGCAAGCGGCUAGGCCGUGUUUGUGUAAACUGCGAUUACUCCUUAGAGGUGAGGUUUGGACGGAGGGAGUAUUCACCUAGAGCUACUACUGCACCCUUGGAAAAGAGUCAUAGAAUGCACUGUGAGUUGUGUGAAUUUUCAAAGGAUUGGAUGCUGGUGCACUAAACAUCUGAGGAGUGGUCCACGUGCACAGAGCAUUGUCCUGAACCCUAAUGUAACCUGCUGCCCUCUCUAGGACUCUACUGAGAGUGUGGUCAAAAUGAAAGCGUGAAAGUUGAAAAGCUCAGUUUUUUGAAAACACAGAACUACGCCAGGAGUGGUGGUGCAUGCCUAUAAUACUGGCACUCUGGGAGGCUGAGACAGGAGGGUCACAAGUUCGAGCCCAGCCUGGGCAGCCAGGACAACUGGCAAGUGAUUGCUUUAAAUAAGAAAGAUACAUAAAGAUGAACAGACUGUUAUGGUGGAGGUAGCCUUUGAGAUAUCCGUAUCAUAAAAGUAGAAGCAAUAGUAAAAAAAUAAAGGUAGAAGAAAUAUGCCUGAGGUUAGUAUAUGGUUGGGUAAAGUACUGUACAGGGGCCCUAGAGAGACUUCCUUUCUUCCUUCAAGGGCGUCAGGAACGGGGCGCAGGCCGGAGAGCUACACACUCGCAGAAUGAAAACUCGGUUCCGCUCAGGAGCACGGACAGUUAGAGAAACCGGACUGCAGGCGGCUCCGAGUGCUGCCCCCGGGAGACUGCAGCGCCUGGAGGCCCGGUCUGCGGGCUUGGCGUCGUCUGUUCCCGCCUCAGCAAGGGCAGGGCCAGUCACUGACACAGACCGAGGGGCGAGCCUGGCAGAUGGUGCCUCGGAGCUGACUCAGCCCUUUCCCCGGCUCACAGAGUUUCUCAGGAAGCUUCUCCCUGGCACGCAGGGCAGUUUUAUCUCCACUCGAGGAGCAGAUUGUAAUUUGUAACCUGUAGACGCCAUGGCGUGUGAGCGGGACGUGGGUGCGUCAGGACGUGAGUUGCGCUCUCCCCCUGGGCUGGAGCUGUCUCCUUCUCUGGAGACCUUGGGCAUCGCGAGGAGAAGCGACCGACAGCCAAGCCACAGGCUGCUGGCCGUGCUGUUUGGCGGUUAGGUGUGUUAAGUGCACCCCAGCACACUGUAUUUUCAAUUUAUGUUGCGCUUCCUGGGAUGUCGCCCAGAUACAAACAGGAAUAUCUGCAUAGCCAGCUUCCCUUUGUGCUCACCACUUCCUAUUACCUAGCGUCCAGACAGCUCGUUUCCUUUCUUUAACCCACUGCUUUGGUGGGUUACACCAGCAGUGCGGCCCCUGUCCACUUCCCCGUGGUGGACGCGGCGCCCCCCUACAGGCCACAUAGCUCUCACCAGAUAGCUGAAGCCCACAGUGCCUGUACCUUGUCGUCCCAGCCUCCAGAACUGGGGAGGAAACAAGUUCUGGUCUCUAAAACUUACCAUCAGUUGAGCGCUGAGCUGCCCCAGAUGCUGAGCACAGGGACAGGAACAGCACAGUGCUCCUGGGAGCAGAGGCACCUGCCCGACGCCCCGGCAGAACAGAGACACAGACUUGCGAGGAGCCAGUGCGCUGACUCCGCAGCCCAGGGAGAGGCCUUGGCCGGCCUUGCGGGAGAAGCAGAACCUUGCCAGAAGAAACUGAAGGCUCACGAGCUCGGAAGAGAUGAGGACAGAGGGAAGCUGCCAGAGAGCAGGCCCAGGCGGCAGCGUGUGCACAGCGCUCCUGGAGGGACAGGAGCAGGUCAGGCCCCAUUUCAGACUCAGAGAUGGGGCAGCAUGAGGAGAGCCGAGAAGACGCACAGUAGACACAAAACCCACCAACUUGAGGCUGGAGGCAGGAAGCCAGAGUGCAGACGGAGAAGAGAAACUGAGAAGUUUGCUGACUGAAUGUUUGGCGGGGAGGAACAGUCAGGGAAGGCGCCUGGGGCAGCUGAGUGAUGAGGGCACAGGCUGGGGAGAGGGGGGUGCAGACCUGAGGUGAGCAGUGUCACGCAGGACUUGGGAGAGAGGCCUGGGUCAGGGUGCGAGCCCAGCCUAGGCAACUUAGUGACUUACCAAGACCCCUGCCUCAGAAAUAUAAAACAAAAAACUUUUUAAAGGGGCUGGGGAUGUAGCUCAGUGGAAAGGCCUUGGGUUCAAACCCCAGGAUUCAAAACAAAACAAUACACUGUAGUUUGUGCCAUGUGUGGUAGCACUGUAAUCCUGGCAGCACUUAGGAGGCUGAGGCAGGAGGAUUGCAAGUUUGAGGCCAGCCUGGGCUACCUAGACUCUAUCUCAAAAAACAAAACUAAAAACCAAACCAAAUAAACAAAACAAAAACAAAGAGAGAAAGGAAGAAAAAGAGAGAGAGACAGGGAGAGAGAUAGAGAGAGGAAGACGCCGUCUGCUCUCAGCGGGCAGCCAGGGCUCAGAUUCCAUGGAUCAGCGGAGGAUGCGGACGGGGUGACAAACCUACAGCAUGUGCACCGCGGCAGCUGUUGUACUGACAGCUGUCAAAGGUUCGCCAUCCCUUGGGGGGUGGUAGCUGUGAAGGGCAGGCGACGUGCUCAGCGAAUCAACACCAACCAGGGGAAAGCACAAACUGAGGGAGAAGGAAAGAAACUGGGACCCAGCAGUGCAGGCAGAGGAGGCUGUGCUUCCAGUCACAGGGCCCGGGCUGAGCAGCCAGAAGCGACCGCUCUGCACGAUGGCACCGCGCAGGCUGGAGAGGCGGGGGCCACGCGGGGGCCACGCACGCUGAGUCCUGACAGGGGCCUGUCUGCCGUAGCUCAGGGCUCAGGACGGGAAGAGCGUGGGAUGGGCCUGGCAAGCUGAGGAGUCUGGGAGAAUCGGAACCUGGCUCCAGAUCAUUAGCAAGUGGGUCCAUCAAGGCAGAACAGAAUGCUGUACAGAAGGUCUGUUACCGUGAUUUGUAACUGUGUGUGUGUUUGUGUGUGUGUGUGUGUGUGUGAGGUACUGGGGACUGAACGCAGAGCUACAUCUGGACCCCCCUUUUUUUAAAAAUCGGAGACAAGAUCUCACUAACUUGCCCAGGUUAGACUUGAACUUGGGACCCUCCAGCCUCAGCUGUCCAGAGUGCUGGGGUUACAGGGGUACAGCACUGCACCCAGCUGAUUUAUAACUUUUAAAUAUUUGGGCAGGUGGUACAUGAGCCUCUGCGGCCACACUCUUGCUCAGGUUCUGCCAGUUUAGUGUGUGCUACAGUGUAUUACAGUGUAAGGAGUAACAGGUUCACACAGAUGAGAUUAUACUUUAGCUGCUCCCCC